This 1229-nucleotide ribosomal RNA is filed under the name Strawberry leafy fruit phytoplasma. RNAcentral's name for it is "bacterial SSU rRNA". It matches the Rfam family "Bacterial small subunit ribosomal RNA", at positions 160 to 1388 of the family's 1533-position model. Lineage: Bacteria; Bacillati; Mycoplasmatota; Mollicutes; Acholeplasmatales; Acholeplasmataceae. The record is from RNAcentral.
CUGCUAAGACUGGAUAGGAAAAGUAAAGGCAUCUUUACUUUUUUAAAAGACCUUCUUUGGAGGUAUGCUUAAGGAGGGGCUUGCGACACAUUAGUUAGUUGGCAGGGUAAAGGCCUACCAAGACUAUGAUGUGUAGCUGGACUGAGAGGUUGAACAGCCACAUUGGGACUGAGACACGGCCCAAACUCCUACGGGAGGCAGCAGUAGGGAAUUUUCGGCAAUGGAGGAAACUCUGACCGAGCAACGCCGCGUGAACGAUGAAGUACCUCGGUAUGUAAAGUUCUUUUAUUAAGGAAGAAAAAAGAGUGGAAAAACUCCCUUGACGGUACUUAAUGAAUAAGCCCCGGCUAAUUAUGUGCCAGCAGCCGCGGUAAUACAUAAGGGGCGAGCGUUAUCCGGAAUUAUUGGGCGUAAAGGGUGCGUAGGCGGUUUAAUAAGUCUAUAGUUUAAUUUCAGUGCUUAACGCUGUUGUGCUAUAGAAACUGUUUUACUAGAGUGAGAUAGAGGCAAGCGGAAUUCCAUGUGUAGCGGUAAAAUGCGUAAAUAUAUGGAGGAACACCAGAGGCGUAGGCGGCUUGCUGGGUCUUUACUGACGCUGAGGCGCGAAAGCGUGGGGAGCAAACAGGAUUAGAUACCCUGGUAGUCCACGCCGUAAACGAUGAGUACUAAGUGUCGGGUAAAACCGGUACUGAAGUUAACACAUUAAGUACUCCGCCUGAGUAGUACGUACGCAAGUAUGAAACUUAAAGGAAUUGACGGGACUCCGCACAAGCGGUGGAUCAUGUUGUUUAAUUCGAAGAUACACGAAAAACCUUACCAGGUCUUGACAUUUUCUUGCGAAGUUAUAGAAAUAUAAUGGAGGUUAUCAGGAAAACAGGUGGUGCAUGGUUGUCGUCAGCUCGUGUCGUGAGAUGUUAGGUUAAGUCCUAAAACGAGCGCAACCCUUGUCGUUAAUUGCCAGCAUGUAAUGAUGGGGACUUUAACGAGACUGCCAAUGAAAAAUUGGAGGAAGGUGGGGAUUACGUCAAAUCAUCAUGCCCCUUAUGAUCUGGGCUACAAACGUGAUACAAUGGUUGAUACAAAGAGUAGCUGAAACGCGAGUUCUUAGCCAAUCUCACAAAAUCAAUCUCAGUUCGGAUUGAAGUCUGCAACUCGACUUCAUGAAGUUGGAAUCGCUAGUAAUCGCGAAUCAGCAUGUCGCGGUGAAUACGUUCUCGGGGUUUGUACAC